RNAcentral lists this ribosomal RNA (468 nucleotides) under uncultured bacterium. Its description in RNAcentral is "partial 16S ribosomal RNA". It matches the Rfam family "Bacterial small subunit ribosomal RNA", at positions 28 to 507 of the family's 1533-position model. The record is from RNAcentral.
GACGAACGCUGGCGGCGUGCUUAACACAUGCAAGUCGAACGGAAAGGCCCUGCCUUUGUGGGGUGCUCGAGUGGCGAACGGGUGAGUAACACGUGAGUAACCUGCCCUUGACUUUGGGAUAACUUCAGGAAACUGGGGCUAAUACCGGAUAGGAGCUUCUGAUGCAUGGUGGGGGUUGGAAAGUUUCGGCGGUUGGGGAUGGACGCGCGGCUUAUCAGCUUGUUGGUGGGGUAGUGGCUUACCAAGGCUUUGACGGGUAGCCGGCCUGAGAGGGUGACCGGCGACAUUGGGACUGAGGGACGGAGCAGACGGGUACGGGAGGCAGCAGUGGGGAAUAUUGCCCAAUGGGCGGGAGCCUGAUGCGACAACGCCGCGUGCGGGAAGACGGCCUGCGGGUUGUGAACCGCUUUCGGCUGUGACGAAGCGUGAGUGACGGUACUGGGUGAAGAAGCACCGGCUAACUACGUG